CUAUCCGUAUGCAAUGGCGAAUGACUCAUUUCGUUUGUUGACGCAUGCCUCUUUUGAUUCCAUCGAAGCGUUCCAUGUCCUCCUCCCCGCUUACUGUUUGCUUUCGCGUCGGAAAGUAGCGAUAUCUAUUCGAGCGCAACACAUGUUUGGUGGCCGUAGUACCAGUCGCCGCACCGCCUUAUCAUAGCUCUGUUAUUAUUUGGCACGGUUCUCUUACUACUCCAGACAAGCGUGACGCCGUACCCCUGACUUAGUCGCUAUCAUCGGGUCUGUCGCUAGACGCCAGCCAGGGACUUGGUUUUCCUAUUGUGACUCCCAUCUAUUGUUAAGCUGGGCACCCUCCUUUCCUCUCUUGGCGGCAGUAUAUCGGCCUCAUAUUAACGUCACUGUCCCGGCUCUCAUGCCGCCUACUUCCCCUGCCCCAUUAUCCCACAGGCGGCCUGCUCUUCAAGUUCAAUUUGUGUACAGCGACGACGAGAUCUCUAAUCACCAUAGUUGCAAACUCGUUUCUUACGCGCUGGCCUUUGUUCCGCUCUUACCGCACCAGCUUACAGCGAAGUGACAAAUAUGGACCUCUUAAGUGAGUGAUGACCAGGUGUCCAGACGUCACAGACCACAUAUCGGAGAGUGUAUAGAGGAAAUUGCAACUGCGGAAAUUUCUCCCAUAUUCUGUAUUACGCGUCGCCCGUAGGCCAGUUUUUCACACCCAAGUACAGCUACCACACACGUCCCAGCUUGUGAAAUUUAACCUUCCAAAAAAAGCAACGUCAACAGGACUACGGGGAGGGUGUUCGUGUUCGACAACGGGGCACAUCUUGCAUAUUAUCGGGAUUGCCACACACAGGCAGAGACUGUGCACGACAACGAUGAGUUACCCACAACAAAAUUACUACCCGCCGACUCAGCCCUGUUUUACUCAACCGGGAUAUCCACCACCAGCCCAGCCGGGUUACUAUCCCCCCCCACAGCCCGGAUAUCAGCCUGGUUACGUCCCAUCGGCGGUGCCCGCACAAACAGUAGUUGUGCAUGACCAUCGGCCGCAAGAGGAUAACUUUUGGAAGAACAGCUGCCUAUGUGCUUUGUGCUUAGCACUAUGUUGUUGGUGCUGUGAUAAUUAGAUAGGUUCAAUAUCAACUCAGCGGAAAAGGGGCGACCUUAUGUCGGUUUAUUGCGACUCCCACAAGCCAGGAGCCACCCGAUUGACAUCUGUCGCCGACUGUGCGGUGUAUAAUGCCCAAACACUGUAUAAAUUAUCAAUAGCAGAUAUUUUUAUGAUGUUAUAUUAUACGAUAAAGAUACAUAUUGUUAUUUGAAUAGACUUUUUAUUACAGCACAAAUAAACGUGUGCAAUGAUGAUGUACAAUCUAAUAUAAACAACGCAAUAAUAAUAAAUCAGUAUAACACUAGUUUGCUUACAUACUCAAUAGUGAUCAUUACAAUAUAUCUAUAAUCAUAUGGAACUCAAUGCCGACAGAAAUUUGAAGCUCGCUUCAAGACAAAAUAAACUAUGCACAAAACGUAAACUAUA
Molecule: long non-coding RNA, 1528 nt
Organism: Varroa destructor (honeybee mite)
Lineage: Eukaryota; Metazoa; Arthropoda; Arachnida; Mesostigmata; Varroidae
Source: RefSeq, a predicted model, not a curated record